GCGAGAGUGGCGGAACGGGCAGACGCGCUGGACUUAGGAUCCAGUCCCAACCAUGGGAUGGGGGUUCGAGUCCCCCCUCUCGCACCA
This 87-nucleotide transfer RNA is filed under the name Candidatus Methylomirabilota bacterium. RNAcentral's name for it is "tRNA-Leu". It matches the Rfam family "tRNA". From Rfam's summary of the family: Transfer RNA (tRNA) molecules are approximately 80 nucleotides in length. Their secondary structure includes four short double-helical elements and three loops (D, anti-codon, and T loops). The record is from RNAcentral. Lineage: Bacteria; Methylomirabilota (SeqCode).